Molecule: ribosomal RNA, 632 nt
Filed under: Stenomitos sp. BACA0054
Lineage: Bacteria; Bacillati; Cyanobacteriota; Cyanophyceae; Leptolyngbyales; Leptolyngbyaceae
Description: bacterial SSU rRNA
Rfam family: Bacterial small subunit ribosomal RNA
Source: RNAcentral
UGAGAAUCUGCCUUCAGGUUGGGGACAACAGUUGGAAACGACUGCUAAUACCCAAUGUGCCGAGAGGUGAAAGCUUUAGUGCCUGAAGAUGAGCUCGCGUCUGAUUAGCUAGUUGGUGGGGUAAUAGCCUACCAAGGCGACGAUCAGUAGCUGGUCUGAGAGGAUGAUCAGCCACACUGGGACUGAGACACGGCCCAGACUCCUACGGGAGGCAGCAGUGGGGAAUUUUCCGCAAUGGGCGCAAGCCUGACGGAGCAAGACCGCGUGAGGGAGGAAGGCUCUUGGGUUGUAAACCUCUUUUAUCAGGGAAGAAGAUCUGACGGUACCUGAUGAAUCAGCAUCGGCUAACUCCGUGCCAGCAGCCGCGGUAAUACGGAGGAUGCAAGCGUUAUCCGGAUUUAUUGGGCGUAAAGCGUCCGCAGGUGGUUAUUCAAGUCUGCUGUUAAAGCGCGAGGCUUAACCUCGUACAGGCAGUGGAAACUGGAUGACUAGAGUAUGGUAGGGGUAGCGGGAAUUCCCAGUGUAGCGGUGAAAUGCGUAGAUAUUGGGAAGAACACCAGCGGCGAAAGCGCGCUACUGGGCCAUUACUGACACUCAUGGACGAAAGCUAGGGGAGCGAAAGGGAUUAGAUA